RNAcentral lists this ribosomal RNA (503 nucleotides) under uncultured bacterium. RNAcentral's name for it is "bacterial SSU rRNA". It matches the Rfam family "Bacterial small subunit ribosomal RNA", at positions 8 to 507 of the family's 1533-position model. The record is from RNAcentral.
AGAGUUUGAUCAUGGCUCAGAUUGAACGCUGGCGGAAUGCUUUACACAUGCAAGUCGAGCGGCAGCGCGGGGGCAACCCUGGCGGCGAGCGGCGAACGGGUGAGUAACAUAUCGGAACGUACCCCGUCGUGGGGGAUAACACAGCGAAAGCUGUGCUAAUACCGCAUACGACCUGAGGGUGAAAGCGGGGGAUCGCAAGACCUCGCGCGAUGGGAGCGGCCGAUAUCGGAUUAGCUUGUUGGUGAGGUAAAGGCUCACCAAGGCGACGAUCCGUAGCUGGUCUGAGAGGACGACCAGCCACACUGGAACUGAGACACGGUCCAGACUCCUACGGGAGGCAGCAGUGGGGAAUUUUGGACAAUGGGGCAACCCUGAUCCAGCCAUUCCGCGUGAGUGAAGAAGGCCUUCGGGUUGUAAAGCUCUUUCAGCAGGAACGAAACGGUGGCCAUUAAUACUGGCUACUAAUGACGGUACCUGAAGAAGAAGCACCGGCUAACUACGUG